Molecule: ribosomal RNA, 460 nt
Filed under: uncultured bacterium
Lineage: Bacteria
Description: partial 16S ribosomal RNA
Rfam family: Bacterial small subunit ribosomal RNA
Source: RNAcentral
CCUACGGGAGGCAGCAGUGAGGAAUAUUGGUCAAUGGACGAGAGUCUGAACCAGCCAAGUAGCGUGAAGGAUGACUGCCCUAUGGGUUGUAAACUUCUUUUAUAUGGGAAUAAAAUGUUCCACGUGUGGGAUUUUGUAUGUACCAUAUGAAUAAGGAUCGGCUAACUCCGUGCCAGCAGCCGCGGUAAUACGGAGGAUCCGAGCGUUAUCCGGAUUUAUUGGGGUUAAAGGGAGCGUAGGUGGAUUGUUAAGUCAGUUGUGAAAGUUUGCGGCUCAACCGUAAAAUUGCAGUUGAAACUGGCAGUCUUGAGUACAGUAGAGGUGGGUGGAAUUCGUGGUGUAGCGGUGAAAUGCUUAGAUAUCACGAAGAACUCCGAUUGCGAAGGCAGUUCACUGGACUGCAACUGACACUGAGGCUCGAAAGUGUGGGUAUCAAACAGGAUUAGAUACCCGAGUAGUC